GGUGAGCCCGUAAAACCAACAAAGGUUUUGGUGAACCCGGAAAACCAAAGUGUAUAGGUUCGUUGGUGAGCCCGCAAAACCAACAAAGGUUUUUGGUGAACCCGGAAAACCAAAGUGUAUAGGUUCGUUGGUGAGCCCGUAAAACCAACAAAGGUUUUGGUGAACCCAGAAAACCAAAGUGUAUAGGUUCGUUGGUGAGCCCGUAAAACCAACAAAGAUUUUUGGAUUGUGAGCCCGGAAAACAAUCCAACUAUAAUCCGCGAGAUUAUAGUGAAUUCCCAAGGGGACGCUUGGGGAGUGGACGUAGGUGCUAAGAAGAGCACCGAACCACUAUAUAUUGUUGUGUUUGUGUUGUGCUUGUGUUUUCAUUUACUCUUGCAUCAUCUUCUACUCUUGCGUUAGUUUAACUCACUCAAAUAGCUUAAGAAACCAUCCACCGCACUUAAUUAAGAAAACAUUUAAAGCAUCAAAAUUUAGAAGAAACCAAUUCACCCCCCCCC
This 500-nucleotide long non-coding RNA is filed under the name Phoenix dactylifera (date palm). RNAcentral describes it as "long non-coding RNA (PDAC_LNC022384)". Lineage: Eukaryota; Viridiplantae; Streptophyta; Magnoliopsida; Arecales; Arecaceae. The record is from RNAcentral.